AAUCGCAGUAAAUAGGGUUUUACGAAAUUGUGGACUGUUUAUCGCAGUUCUGGUCGCUACACAACAGUUAUCUUGUGGGGCAGGUUACCAAUCUUUGUGGUGAACCUGUCACGCCCUGGAAAGGAAAGUGUGCUUGCUUUAGUAAGGUAUUGUCUACAAGAUGAAGUCUAUGAGGAAUGCUGCUGAACUGAUGGAAUUACUGCAAUUACCUGAUGAAAAACCUCUCCCUUCAACUGUGUCCACAAUCAGAUGCCCAGUUUUGGGAAGGAUCCAUUUUGUAAGGGAUCCCAAAGGCAUCAUGCAGCUCAUGUGUGUGUUGUUCUACUGGGUGUAUGGAACGUUCUCCAGCUUGUUUAUUAUCCUAAUUCCAAGAUAUGCAGAGGGGUAUAUUUCUGGAAUCUUCCUGACAGUGUUUAUGUCCAUCUCCUUGUUGUGUCUGACAUCUCUUAUAAGAGUAUCAACUCUAAAUCCCGGAAGAAUUCCAACAUCCAGCAUCUAUGAAAAUGAGCACUGGACAUAUUGCCGAGUGUGUAACAGAAAGCGCCCUCAGCGUGCUCAUCACUGUAGAAGAUGUGGUCAGUGCGUUAUGAAAAUGGAUCACCAUUGUCCAUGGAUAAACAACUGUGUUGGAGAACAAAAUCACUAUGCAUUCUUCCUCCUGCUGCUUUAUGCCUUCCUUUUGAGUGCUGUUGUCUUCCUGUUAUGCAUGCUUCAUUUUUGGGUUUACCCAAAAUGUAAGCAAUGUGAUAAGGAUGCUUUCUAUGUCAAACACAGCAUAUGGUUCUUGUAUCUACUUACUUUGAUGGCAGCUAAUAUGACACUUGUGAUGGGGAUACAGCUCAUUGGGCAACAUUUCAAUUUGCUAAUUGACAGAACAACACUUGAAAAUAUCCAGCAACCUCCAGAUCCUACUAGGUAUAAACUUAUGGAAUAACCGUUCUUGUAAGAUAGCUGCUGUCAUCCAGGCAUCCUUGGAGGUGGCAUAGAUAGCAGCCCCUGAGGGUGCCUGACGGGACUCCAGUGCUGCGACUGACGCUGGCCUGUGACUCUCCAUUCCUAACUCUCUUGAUGAGGGCCAAUUUGUCUGCAACUGAUACAGUUGAGAGGUACUUUCGCAGCAUAUGAAGAAAUGUGUGGAAGAAAACGAAGCAUGAUGUUUCUAUGGUUCAUCCCUUGUAAGAGGAGA
RNAcentral lists this unclassified non-coding RNA (1186 nucleotides) under Haliotis rubra (blacklip abalone). RNAcentral's name for it is "palmitoyltransferase ZDHHC21-like, transcript variant X4". Lineage: Eukaryota; Metazoa; Mollusca; Gastropoda; Lepetellida; Haliotidae. The record is from RNAcentral.